AUGCCUACGGGACGCAGCAGUGAGGAAUAUUGGUCAAUGGCCGUAAGGCUGAACCAGCCAAGUAGCGUGAGGGAAGACUGCCCUAUGGGUUGUAAACCUCUUUUAUGCGGGGAUAAAGGUGUCCACGUGUGGAUGUUUGCAGGUACCGCAUGAAUAAGGACCGGCUAAUUCCGUGCCAGCAGCCGCGGUAAUACGGAAGGUCCGGGCGGUAUCCGGAUUUAUUGGGUUUAAAGGGAGCGUAGGCCGGUCUUUAAGCGUGCCGUGACAUUUUGUGGCUCAACCAUGAGAGUGCGGCGCGAAACGGG
This 305-nucleotide ribosomal RNA is filed under the name uncultured bacterium. RNAcentral's name for it is "bacterial SSU rRNA". It matches the Rfam family "Bacterial small subunit ribosomal RNA", at positions 335 to 636 of the family's 1533-position model. The record is from RNAcentral.